UUUCCGUAGGUGAACCUGCGGAGGGAUCAUUACUGAGUGAGGGCUUCGGUCCGACCUCCAACCCUUUUGUGAACCACCUCGUUGCUUCGGGGGCGUCCCUGCCGUUCGCGGCGUGGGGCCCCCGGAGCCCAUCAAACCCUGCGUAACUAAGUCGUCGGAGUUUAAACAAAUUAAACAAAACUUUCAACAACGGAUCUCUUGGUUCCAGCAUCGAUGAAGAACGAAGA
RNAcentral lists this unclassified non-coding RNA (227 nucleotides) under uncultured fungus. RNAcentral's name for it is "sequence contains ITS1, 5.8S rRNA gene". The stretch from base 179 to 227 matches the Rfam family "5.8S ribosomal RNA", at positions 1 to 49 of the family's 154-position model. The record is from RNAcentral. Lineage: Eukaryota; Fungi.